GCGAAGCUCCUGAUCGAAGCCCCAGUAAACGGCGGCCGUAACUAUAACGGUCCUAAGGUAGCGAAAUUCCUUGUCGGGUAAGUUCCGACCUGCACGAAUGGCGUAAUGAUGGCCAGGCUGUCUCCACCCGAGACUCAGUGAAAUUGAACUCGCUGUGAAGAUGCAGUGUACCCGCGGCAAGACGGAAAGACCCCGUGAACCUUUACUAUAGCUUGACACUGAACAUUGAGCCUUGAUGUGUAGGAUAGGUGGGAGGCUUUGAAGUGUGGACGCCAGUCUGCAUGGAGCCAACCUUGAAAUACCACCCUUUAACGUUUGAUGUUCUAACCUAGGCCCAUAAACUGGGUCGGGGACCGUGUCUGGUGGGUAGUUUGACUGGGGCGGUCUCCUCCUAAAGAGUAACGGAGGAGCACGAAGGUUGGCUAAGCAUGGUCGGACAUCAUGCGGUUAGUGCAAAGGCAUAAGCCAGCUUGACUGCGAGAGUGACGGCUCGAGCAGGUACGAAAGUAGGUCUUAGUGAUCCGGUGGUUCUGAAUGGAAGGGCCAUCGCUCAACGGAUAAAAGGUACUCCGGGGAUAACAGGCUGAUACCGCCCAAGAGUUCAUAUCGACGGCGGUGUUUGGCACCUCGAUGUCGGCUCAUCACAUCCUGGGGCUGAAGUAGGUCCCAAGGGUAUGGCUGUUCGCCAUUUAAAGUGGUACGCGAGCUGGGUUUAGAACGUCGUGAGACAGUUCGGUCCCUAUCUGCCGUGGGCGUUGGAAGAUUGAGAGGGGUUGCUCCUAGUACGAGAGGACCGGAGUGAACGCACCACUGGUGUUCGGGUUGUCAUGCCAAUGGCAUUGCCCGGUAGCUAAGUGCGGAAGAGAUAACCGCUGAAAGCAUCUAAGCGGGAAACUUGCCUCGAGAUGAGUCUUCCCUGUCGCUUUAAGCGACCUAAAGGAACGUUUAAGACUAAGACGUUGAUAGGCUGGGUGUGUAAGCGUAGCGAUACGUUGAGCUAACCAGUACUAAUGAACCGUGAGGCUUAACC
RNAcentral lists this ribosomal RNA (1030 nucleotides) under Proteus mirabilis. Its description in RNAcentral is "partial 23S ribosomal RNA". It matches the Rfam family "Bacterial large subunit ribosomal RNA", at positions 1899 to 2925 of the family's 2925-position model. The record is from RNAcentral. Lineage: Bacteria; Pseudomonadati; Pseudomonadota; Gammaproteobacteria; Enterobacterales; Morganellaceae.